This 856-nucleotide ribosomal RNA is filed under the name Staphylococcus aureus. RNAcentral describes it as "partial 23S ribosomal RNA". It matches the Rfam family "Bacterial large subunit ribosomal RNA", at positions 12 to 865 of the family's 2925-position model. The record is from RNAcentral. Lineage: Bacteria; Bacillati; Bacillota; Bacilli; Caryophanales; Staphylococcaceae.
UAAGGGCGCACGGUGGAUGCCUUGGCACUAGAAGCCGAUGAAGGACGUUACUAACGACGAUAUGCUUUGGGGAGCUGUAAGUAAGCUUUGAUCCAGAGAUUUCCGAAUGGGGAAACCCAGCAUGAGUUAUGUCAUGUUAUCGAUAUGUGAAUACAUAGCAUAUCAGAAGGCACACCCGGAGAACUGAAACAUCUUAGUACCCGGAGGAAGAGAAAGAAAAUUCGAUUCCCUUAGUAGCGGCGAGCGAAACGGGAAGAGCCCAAACCAACAAGCUUGCUUGUUGGGGUUGUAGGACACUCUAUACGGAGUUACAAAGGACGACAUUAGACGAAUCAUCUGGAAAGAUGAAUCAAAGAAGGUAAUAAUCCUGUAGUCGAAAAUGUUGUCUCUCUUGAGUGGAUCCUGAGUACGACGGAGCACGUGAAAUUCCGUCGGAAUCUGGGAGGACCAUCUCCUAAGGCUAAAUACUCUCUAGUGACCGAUAGUGAACCAGUACCGUGAGGGAAAGGUGAAAAGCACCCCGGAAGGGGAGUGAAAUAGAACCUGAAACCGUGUGCUUACAAGUAGUCAGAGCCCGUUAAUGGGUGAUGGCGUGCCUUUUGUAGAAUGAACCGGCGAGUUACGAUUUGAUGCAAGGUUAAGCAGUAAAUGUGGAGCCGUAGCGAAAGCGAGUCUGAAUAGGGCGUUUAGUAUUUGGUCGUAGACCCGAAACCAGGUGAUCUACCCUUGGUCAGGUUGAAGUUCAGGUAACACUGAAUGGAGGACCGAACCGACUUACGUUGAAAAGUGAGCGGAUGAACUGAGGGUAGCGGAGAAAUUCCAAUCGAACCUGGAGAUAGCUGGUUCUCUCCGAAAU